GGUAAGUGUGUGCAGGCGGCGGGGGUAAGACGAGGGGGGGUAGCGGUGCUCGGACUGACUGGGCAUAAAGGGCGGGUGGGCGGUUUGUACAGUCGGGGGUGAAAUUCCUGGGCUCAACCUGGGGGCGGCGUUCGAUACGUGCAGGCUGGAGUAGGGAAGAGGGUCGGGGAAUUCCCAGUGUAGAGGUGAAAUUCGUAGAUAUUGGGAAGAACACCGGUGGCGAAGGCGGCGACCUGGUCCUUUACUGACGCUGAGGCGCGAAAGCGUGGGGAGCAAACAGGAUUAGAUACCCGAGUAGUC
Molecule: ribosomal RNA, 300 nt
Filed under: uncultured Mycoplasma sp.
Lineage: Bacteria; Bacillati; Mycoplasmatota; Mollicutes; Mycoplasmatales; Mycoplasmataceae
Description: bacterial SSU rRNA
Rfam family: Bacterial small subunit ribosomal RNA
Source: RNAcentral